UGUCCCGUGGUGUAAAUGGAAACACAACAGAUUUUGGUUCUGUCAUUCAUGGUUCGAACCCAUGCGGGAUAA
This 72-nucleotide transfer RNA is filed under the name Caudoviricetes sp. RNAcentral's name for it is "tRNA-Gln". It matches the Rfam family "tRNA". Rfam says of the family: Transfer RNA (tRNA) molecules are approximately 80 nucleotides in length. Their secondary structure includes four short double-helical elements and three loops (D, anti-codon, and T loops). The record is from RNAcentral. Lineage: Duplodnaviria; Heunggongvirae; Uroviricota; Caudoviricetes.